AUGCAAGUCGAACGAACUUCCGUUAAUUGAUUAUGGAGGUGCUUGCACUGAAUGAGAUUUUAACACGAAGUGAGUGGCGGACGGGUGAGUAACACGUGGGUAACCUGCCCAGAAGCAGGGGAUAACACCUGGAAACAGAUGCUAAUACCGUAUAACAGAGAAAACCGCCUGGUUUUCUUUUAAAAGAUGGCUCUGCUAUCACUUCUGGAUGGACCCGCGGCGCAUUAGCUAGUUGGUGAGGUAACGGCUCACCAAGGCGAUGAUGCGUAGCCGACCUGAGAGGGUAAUCGGCCACAUUGGGACUGAGACACGGCCCAGACUCCUACGGGAGGCAGCAGUAGGGAAUCUUCCACAAUGGACGCAAGUCUGAUGGAGCAACGCCGCGUGAGUGAAGAAGGGUUUCGGCUCGUAAAGCUCUGUUGUUAAAGAAGAACGUGGGUGAGAGUAACUGUUCACCCAGUGACGGUAUUUAACCAGAAAGCCACGGCUAACUACGUGCCAGCAGCCGCGGUAAUACGUAGGUGGCAAGCGUUAUCCGGAUUUAUUGGGCGUAAAGCGAGCGCAGGCGGUCUUUUAAGUCUAAUGUGAAAGCCUUCGGCUCAACCGAAGAAGUGCAUUGGAAACUGGGAGACUUGAGUGCAGAAGAGGACAGUGGAACUCCAUGUGUAGCGGUGAAAUGCGUAGAUAUAUGGAAGAACACCAGUGGCGAAGGCGGCUGUCUGGUCUGUAACUGACGCUGAGGCUCGAAAGCAUGGGUAGCGAACAGGAUUAGAUACCCUGGUAGUCCAUGCCGUAACGAUGAUUACUAAGUGUUGGAGGGUUUCCGCCCUUCAGUGCUGCAGCUAACGCAUUAAGUAAUCCGCCUGGGGAGUACGAC
This 877-nucleotide ribosomal RNA is filed under the name Pediococcus acidilactici. RNAcentral describes it as "bacterial SSU rRNA". It matches the Rfam family "Bacterial small subunit ribosomal RNA", at positions 55 to 886 of the family's 1533-position model. The record is from RNAcentral. Lineage: Bacteria; Bacillati; Bacillota; Bacilli; Lactobacillales; Lactobacillaceae.